GAUGAACGCUGGCGGCGUGCCUAAUACAUGCAAGUCGAGCGAACGGACGAGGAGCUUGCUUCUCUGAUGUUAGCGGCGGACGGGUGAGUAACACGUGGAUAACCUACCUAUAAGACUGGGAUAACUUCGGGAAACCGGAGCUAAUCCCGGAUGAUAUUUUGAACCGCAUGGUUCAAAAGUGAAAGACGGUCUUGCUGUCACUUAUAGAUGGAUCCGCGCUGCAUUAGCUAGUUGGUAAGGUAACGGCUUAUCAAGGCAACGAUGCAUAGCCGACCUGAGAGGGUGAUCGGCCACACUGGAACUGAGACACGGUCCAGACUCCUACGGGAGGCAGCAGUAGGGAAUCUUCCGCAAUGGGCGAAAGCCUGACGGAGCAACGCCGCGUGAGUGAUGAAGGUCUUCGGAUCGUAAAACUCUGUUAUUAGGGAAGAACAUAUGUGUAAGUAACUGUGCACAUCUUGACGGUACCUAAUCAGAAAGCCACGGCUAACUACGUG
Molecule: ribosomal RNA, 497 nt
Filed under: uncultured bacterium
Lineage: Bacteria
Description: partial 16S ribosomal RNA
Rfam family: Bacterial small subunit ribosomal RNA
Source: RNAcentral